AGCCGAUUAGUGUAACGGUAACACAAACGACUCUGACUCGUUUAUUUAAGGUUCGAAUCCUUAAUCGGCUGCCA
Molecule: transfer RNA, 74 nt
Filed under: Eubacteriales bacterium OttesenSCG-928-M02
Lineage: Bacteria; Bacillati; Bacillota; Clostridia; Eubacteriales
Description: tRNA-Gln
Rfam family: tRNA
About the family: Transfer RNA (tRNA) molecules are approximately 80 nucleotides in length.
Source: RNAcentral